CAGGGCAUUCCUGAUAUCACUUCUUUUCAUUUCAUUGUGACAACUGCGGACUCUAAGAUCCAAGUGUAUCAGUAACACGUAUUCAUUUAUUGUUUCUAUGUGGUAUGAGAAGAAACAGAAGUCUCAUCUUCUUAGCUUGCUCCAUGAUACAAAAUCUUCACACCAGCAACUCCUCACCCAUGAACACAGACCAUGUUGAAAAUCUGUCUGGCCAGUUUAUCUAGAAUAAAUGAAGACACAGUAUGUGGUCCACAAAUGAGAAACUCUGCUCAAGGGUGUUAAGUGAGCUUUCCUGUGCACUCGACCAGAUAAUGCUGCCAGGGUUUCUGUACGUGACAUCAAGAUUGGAAGCCCUGAAGCUGGAGUCUUGGACAUGUCAGUGUCCCAUCUGGGAGAGGGUGAUCUCUUACAGCACACUUCCUCUUCCAACCUCCUUACCAAGACAUUCAUCACCACAUGCAUUCUUGACAUCCCACCCCCUCCAAGAAGCUGCAUGUAAGUAAUCAGAGACUCACUAAGGGGGGACUUGUAUCAGCCUGAGGAAAGAGAACAUGCUGGUUGGUGGUGGCAGAGGUGAAUUCAUUAUUGUCUAGGAAAGACAUGAAGAAAGUGGGACCUUUUUUCCUUUCUCCUAAAGUAAGAAAGGAUUCAAAAUUUGGAGGAAGGAGGAGUUAAGACUAGGGACAUAAACAGUCUAUAUCCAGGAACAGUAAAGGACCUGUGGCCUUAGCUUGGGGAGGGGCUUUCUUUGGGAUUUUUUGAUCUUUGCUGACUCCCUUGGCUCUGAAGUGGGUGUGGAAGAGCUUUGUCUUAGGGACACCUUUGUCACUGGUGCAAAAAGUGUAGGGAGCCCCCUGCUUUUGACUUGCUCUAGGGAGAAAAUGAAAGGACCUUUAAUAUCUCGCUUUGCCUCCUCUGGUCUAGUGAUGAACUGAGGAAAGGCAGCCUGAGUCCAAGGACAACUUUGUGACCCCUGAGGAAACCUAGGGUGUUUUUGGUACUUGAGGAUGGUAGAUAUUUGGAAGAGGGUAAGAAACUAAAACACUCUCUUUUAUUAAUGUCUCCACUGGGGUCAAAUGUUGUGAUAGACUGAGUUGCUUAAUGAGGUUAUACAUUCUACUAAGAAAUUAUUCAGACAUUAUUGAGAAGGGCAUUUAAAUAUUCACUAUAAUUAGAUAUUGCAGAGCCAAGGGUCUAAAAACUCCCUGAAUUUAUUUUUCUUGAAUAACAUAGUUUUCCUAAAUCAUAAAGAUGGUUGAGUACUGAAUGAAGUUCUGGGUAUAUCAAAGUAAAAACUAAACUGUUCAACCAAAAUAACAUGACUCUAAUAAAAAGUAUAUUAGAAAACA
This 1349-nucleotide long non-coding RNA is filed under the name Sus scrofa (pig). Its description in RNAcentral is "lncRNA (ENSSSCG00055027936.1)". The record is from RNAcentral. Lineage: Eukaryota; Metazoa; Chordata; Mammalia; Artiodactyla; Suidae.